GACGAACGCUGGCGGCGUGCUUAACACAUGCAAGUCGAGCGGUAAGGCCCUUUCGGGGGUACACGAGCGGCGAACGGGUGAGUAACACGUGGGUGACCUGCCCUUAGCUCUGGGAUAAGCCUGGGAAACUGGGUCUAAUACCGGAUAUGACUCCAUGACGCAUGUUGUGGGGUGGAAAGCCUUGUGCGGCUAGGGAUGGGCCCGCGGCCUAUCAGCUUGUUGGUGGGGUGAUGGCCACCAAGGCGACGACGGGUAGCCGGCCUGAGAGGGCGACCGGCCACACUGGGGACC
RNAcentral lists this ribosomal RNA (291 nucleotides) under uncultured bacterium. RNAcentral describes it as "partial 16S ribosomal RNA". It matches the Rfam family "Bacterial small subunit ribosomal RNA", at positions 28 to 321 of the family's 1533-position model. The record is from RNAcentral.